UCCCUUAUAGCUCAGUUGGUAAAGAAUCUGCCUGCAAUGCAGGAGACCCGGGUUCGAUUCCUGGGUCAGGAA
RNAcentral lists this transfer RNA (72 nucleotides) under Muntiacus reevesi (Reeves' muntjac). It matches the Rfam family "tRNA". Rfam says of the family: Transfer RNA (tRNA) molecules are approximately 80 nucleotides in length. Their secondary structure includes four short double-helical elements and three loops (D, anti-codon, and T loops). RNAcentral also lists the same sequence under 2 other names. Lineage: Eukaryota; Metazoa; Chordata; Mammalia; Artiodactyla; Cervidae. The record is from Rfam by way of RNAcentral.